CCUACGGGGGGCUGCAGUGGGGAAUAUUGCACAAUGGGGGAAACCCUGAUGCAGCAACGCCGCGUGAGUGAGGAAGUCUUUCGGUUUGUAAAGCUCUAUCAGCAGGGAAGAAAAUGACGGUACCUGACGAAGAAGCCACGGCUAACUACGUGCCAGCAGCCGCGGUAAUACGUAGGGGGCGAGCGUUAUCCGGAUUUACUGGGCGUAAAGGGAGCGUAGACGGAAUAGCAAGUCUGAUGUGAAAACCCGGGGCUCAACUCGGGGGGUGCAUUGGAAACUGUUGGUCUAGAGUGUCGGAGAGGAGAACGGAAUUCCUAGUGUAGCGGUGAAAUGCGUAGAUAUUAGGAGGAACACCAGUGGCGAAGGCGGCUUGCUGGACGAUGACUGACGUUGAGGCUCGAAAGCGUGGGGAGCAAACAGGAUUAGAUACCCUGGUAGUC
Molecule: ribosomal RNA, 440 nt
Filed under: uncultured bacterium
Lineage: Bacteria
Description: partial 16S ribosomal RNA
Rfam family: Bacterial small subunit ribosomal RNA
Source: RNAcentral